Molecule: ribosomal RNA, 274 nt
Filed under: uncultured prokaryote
Description: partial 16S ribosomal RNA
Rfam family: Bacterial small subunit ribosomal RNA
Source: RNAcentral
UACGUAGGUGGCAAGCGUUGUCCGGAUUUACUGGGCGUAAAGGGUGCGUAGGUGGUUUCUUAAGUCAGAGGUGAAAGGCUACGGCUCAACCGUAGUAAGCCUUUGAAACUGGGAAACUUGAGUGCAGGAGAGGAGAGUGGAAUUCCUAGUGUAGCGGUGAAAUGCGUAGAUAUUAGGAGGAACACCAGUUGCGAAGGCGGCUCUCUGGACUGCAACUGACGCUGAGGCGCGAAAGUGUGGGGAGCAAACAGGAUUAGAUACCCGGGUAGUCCCU